GAUGAACGCUGGCGGCGUGCCUAAUACAUGCAAGUCGAGCGAACAGACGAGGAGCUUGCUCCUCUGACGUUAGCGGCGGACGGGUGAGUAACACGUGGAUAACCUACCUAUAAGACUGGGAUAACUUCGGGAAACCGGAGCUAAUACCGGAUAAUAUAUUGAACCGCAUGGUUCAAUAGUGAAAGACGGUUUUGCUGUCACUUAUAGAUGGAUCCGCGCCGCAUUAGCUAGUUGGUAAGGUAACGGCUUACCAAGGCGACGAUGCGUAGCCGACCUGAGAGGGUGAUCGGCCACACUGGAACUGAGACACGGUCCAGACUCCUACGGGAGGCAGCAGUAGGGAAUCUUCCGCAAUGGGCGAAAGCUUGACGGAGCAACGCCGCGUGAGUGAUGAAGGUCUUCGGAUCGUAAAACUCUGUUAUUAGGGAAGAACAAAUGUGUAAGUAACUAUGUACGUCUUGACGGUACCUAAUCAGAAAGCCACGGCUAACUACGUG
Molecule: ribosomal RNA, 497 nt
Filed under: uncultured bacterium
Lineage: Bacteria
Description: partial 16S ribosomal RNA
Rfam family: Bacterial small subunit ribosomal RNA
Source: RNAcentral